Molecule: small RNA, 132 nt
Filed under: Escherichia coli
Lineage: Bacteria; Pseudomonadati; Pseudomonadota; Gammaproteobacteria; Enterobacterales; Enterobacteriaceae
Description: RtT sRNA
Rfam family: RtT RNA
About the family: This family represents a bacterial cis-regulatory element known as RtT RNA. The exact function of RtT is unknown although it is thought that it may be involved in changing the cellular response in relation to amino acid starvation.
Source: RNAcentral
AUUCUGCCCAAGCGGGGAAGGAUGAGAAGCUUCGACCAAGGUUCGACUUGAUCGCCAGCGAGAGAGCGUUGCCGCAGGCAACGACCCGAAGGGCGAAGCGCGCAGCGCUGAGUAAUCCUUCCCCCACCACCA